This 212-nucleotide long non-coding RNA is filed under the name Carica papaya (papaya). RNAcentral's name for it is "long non-coding RNA (CPAP_LNC007511)". Lineage: Eukaryota; Viridiplantae; Streptophyta; Magnoliopsida; Brassicales; Caricaceae. The record is from RNAcentral.
UGAAAGAAAAUAAAUUAUAAAUUAAGUACGAAAAUAAAAUAAUAGUGUUAGAGUUUACAUUCCUUACACAACAAUUCAGAAUACCCAAUAGGGCUACUGGACUGACCAUUCUAAAGGAACAAAGGAUAAUCAAAGAAAUAAAUGGAAAGUAAACAAUUGAACAUCCUAUUCGCAACCCUCUUGUGGAUCGAGAUCUGAAUCUUGGUCCUCUU